CUAUCCCUUUAAUUUCUUUCAUCUACAGCUCUGUCGUGUAGUCUAAGCUGUAGUGGAGUUUAAACAGCAGUAUAGUUUAAACUCUGGCUAGAGUAUCAGGGACUAUGUAGAGUAGAAGGUGAGAGAGGGCAUCCUUGUCCUGUUCCAGUUCUGAGAGGAAAUGCUUCCCAUCAGAAAUGCACUUUGAGGAUGAAGAGGUCCUAGUUCCUCUGCUCUCUCCCCCCACAGCCCAGGUGGGAUGUCUCUUAGGAAGGUGGGGGUCCUCUCCCAAGGCUGCCCCACCUGGCAGAUGGCCCAGUUCCCCUGCAGAGGCCACAUCGGGGAUGGGGCGAGCAGCCACCCGGCGGGCUCAUGGCCAGUGCCAGGCGAGGCAGGUGUGGGCAGCCUAAGGUCCUCAGUAGCUGCCUGGGUAUUGCCACCCCCCUCGUGCUGCUUCCUGAACAGGCCGCUCAGCCAGGACCAAGACCCAGGGCCUGGAACAGCCACUGCAGAGGCCAUUCCAGCCUCUCGUCGCCCUUCCACUCUGAGGCUCACUGCCCUGCGCCCUCGCUGCCGCCGCCAGCCUGGAGCUCUUCACUGUAGCCAUCGGACUCCCCACACGGUCGCCAGAUGCCACUGCAGCAGGAUUCCUGUUACCCCAGCAGGAUGAAGAUGCUCACCACUGGACGCCUCUGUGUCCUCAGCCCCGUUUCCAGACUCUACUGGUGCUGCCGCCACCGUGCAGCAACCAAACUCCCAAACCCCAGCUGGACUAUGAUGCUGCCCACCAAGGGCCCAACGUCAAUGCCCUUCACCCCCCGCCAUGAUGCCUGACUCCAAUGCCCCAUGCCGGCUCCCGGAUGAAGCUGCAUGUUGUUGCUGCCACCACCAGACUCCAUCAUGGACGCAUGACAGCGAUACUCAGCACUGGAUGCCCACUUCACCCACUGCAGCCAGACUCCUGUGGCACUGCAGGACAGAAAUGAUCAUGGCAACAUCCCUCUGUUGUCACCACAGCAGCUUCUGGACUCUUCUGCUGCCACCACCACUGUGAGUAUGCAGCAAGGGAUCUCCCAAACAGCAGCUGGAUGCCAACACCUCAGCUGUUGCCACCCCCACGCCAACUCUCAACUCCGGACCUCCUUCGCCUGAUGCCCUACGCCUGAAGCAGCUACAUGUUGCUGCUGCUGCCACCAGAUGCUACCACUCCAUGAGGCCUCUUCAGUGAUUCCAUCCCAAAGAUGCUGCUGUGCUGCCCAAGACCACAGAAGCUGGGAAGUUGGGCAGUCUCCAUCCCAGUCGCCUCAUCAGUGCCCACCGCUUGCCGCCUGCCUUUCCUCCCCCAGGACCACCCACCAGUCCUUCUGGGCCUUUGAACAGGAGUUGUGCUGACUCAGGGAACUCAUCCAAGGAAAACAACUGACCAUCAGGAAGAAGGAAACACCAGAGAAGCUUGAGGAUCAGAAGGACACUAGCCCUGCUCUGGUCACCCUGGAAGCUGGCUAGCCUGCACACACCAAAGCUUGAGGAAACAGCAGCCCUGCUUCAGCCACUUGAGGGCUGGCUGAUCAAUGCAAGGAGGAAACUAAACUAAGCAACAGGACAAAUGGACUGUUUCGUCCUGUAAGAGGGCUCCCACACUGUGGUGCAUUGCCACCCCUUACUUCUGUCAUAUGCACAGUCCUCUCCUUGGUCUUUACUACAGGACUGACAACCACCAAACACACAGCUAACCCAUAAUGGGGGGCGGGGCAAGGGAAGAUGGGAGGGACUUUGGAUUGGGCAGAGGGGAGUGUGGGAGGGGAGGGGAUAUGGGAGUGGGAAGGAUGGUGGAAUGAGGUGGAUUGUAUUAAUCUAUGUACAUGUAUGAUUGCAGGAAUGGGGUGACUGUGCACUGUGUCUAACCAGAGAAAUGAAAAGUUGCCUCCAUUUGUGUUUAAUAGUCAAAAUGCAUUCUGCUGUUAUAUAUAACUAAUUGAAAAAAAUUCAUAAAGGUCUAAGGCUUAAAAGGAAGUUUAGACACUUUAAUGGUCAUAUAAAUAUGUAUACUUUUCUUAUAUAAAAUUUAAACUUAUUAAUUAAAUUGAAAAAAAAAAAACAACUAGCACAUGUACUAGUUCAAACCUGAAAGGGCAUUAAGGCUUGGGAACCAAGCUCACUCUUUGGAGGAUGGUUUUUCUAUUCUUGGUGGAUUCAAAAGUUUAAUUGACAUAGUAUGGAUUAUGCUAUUGUUUAUUGCUUUCAUAUUUGUCUCCCCUUUACAAUGAAACUAUUGGGUCAACUAUAGAAGCAGCUGUUAGAGAGAGGGGGGGGGCAGGAGGAGGGAAACAUGGAGGGAGAAAUUAAGAUUAUGGCAUUAUAUAAAAUUUUAAGCCUUGAAGAUGAUGUUUUUUGAUUUAAAGGGUUAAAUAAUGAGCAUAGAGGCGGUAACGAUGUAUCACAAAUACUCCAAAUAGUCCAAAUGAUGUAGUGUCCAAAAGAUCCCCACCUUAAUUGUAAUAUAUAAGCCUUUCUCCUAGUAAACAAGAUUUUUUUUUUGAAGUCAACAGGAUUUCUAGAGAGCUCAUUGUAGUUUAGCUCCUCUUUAUUGUAAAGGUCAGGUUUCUCUUUCUUGUAAAAGUUAGGUCUGCAGGGCUGGGGUUGUGGCUCAGUGUUAGAACACUUACCUAGCAGGUGUGAGGCACUGAGUUUGAUUCUUACACCACAUAAAAAUAAAAUAAGGUAUUGUGCCCAUCUACAACUUAAAAAAAAGUUAUGUCAGCAAUCAAACUUGUUGAUGUACAAAAGUUACUCUUUCUCUUUUCUUAGUAAAAUCUUGUGAAACCUCUGUCCAAUCUAAGAACAUGGAAGAAAAAGUAACUAUUAUGUUAGCCAUUGUGUUGUGUAACCAUUCACUGAGUAGAAAUCCCAGAGAACUUCCAUACCUGGGGUCCAGGGAUUUUUUGGCAUUAGCCCCUCUGGAUUACACCAGCUUAAAUAAACCUUGUUCCUGCACAUUUCUCAAGUGUCCAGCCUCCUCUGUCCUACAUCAAUACCUGCUUGAAAUGCUAGAAUGUCCCCAUUCUUGAAGGACACUCAGAGACAGUCUCUCUGGCUCUGCCACAGUAUGAAUUCUAUCCAAAGAUAUUAAUCACAAAAAACUAAAGGGAGAUUACACUAUAGUGACCUCCUGGGGGGAGAUUCAGUGUUGCAUGAUGAAACUUGUAUACAUAUAUUGAAUUGCUAUGAUAUACCCUGUAAAGUAUAGAAAUGAUACAUCUGAAUAAACAUGUUUUGUGAGAAAUUGAA
Molecule: long non-coding RNA, 3267 nt
Organism: Marmota monax (woodchuck)
Lineage: Eukaryota; Metazoa; Chordata; Mammalia; Rodentia; Sciuridae
Exons: 2
Source: RefSeq, a predicted model, not a curated record